CUAGAAGUUUUUCAAACCAUAACCUAAUAAAAUAACUAACUAGAUAGCAAAAAAAAAACAAUUCAUUAAACUUAAAAUCAACUUAUAAAGCGUUUAAUAUACACAAAACUAAACACAUGUACAUCAAUUUUUUUUAAAAAAAAUUAAAAUUCUAAAAUUAAACCCUAAAUACAAAAGAUACUAUAACAUAUGUUACUAAACCCUAAACCAAAUUCUUCUAGGAGUCUUCCAGGCCUUAUAAUCAAAUAACUAAGCAAAAACACUUCCUUAAACUUAAAAGAAACUUAGAAAAUAUUUAAAUCAAGUAAUUAGAUCUUCACUAAACACAUAUAUGUCAAACUAAAAAAAAAUUAAAAAGAUAAUAUUUCAAAAUCUAACCCUAAAAAUACCAACAAUACUAUAACAUAUGUUACCGAAC
Molecule: long non-coding RNA, 418 nt
Filed under: Brassica napus (rape)
Lineage: Eukaryota; Viridiplantae; Streptophyta; Magnoliopsida; Brassicales; Brassicaceae
Description: long non-coding RNA (BNAP_LNC017461)
Source: RNAcentral